UAAGCGGAGGAAAAGAAACUAACUAAGAUUGCCCCAGUAACGGCGAGUGAAGCGGCAAAAGCCCAAAAUGGAAAUCUUCGUACUGCGUACGACGAAUUGUAAUCUAAAGAGCGGAAGCUCACCGGGUAGUGGCGCAGAAGUGACUUAGAACGGUCCGCCAUAGAGGGUGACAGCCCCGUAUGUGGUGCCACUGCCUAACGAGCCCUGUUCAAUGAGUCGGAUAGUUUUGAAUUGCUGUCCUAAGCGGGAGAUAGACUUCUUCUAAGGCUAAAUAUUUAUGGGAAACCGAUAGCGAACAAGUACUGUGAAGGAAAGAUGAAAAGAACUUUGAAAAGAGAGUCAAAAGACUUGAAAUCGUUGAGAAGGAAGCGGUAGAAAUUUAUUCUUCUGGUGAUAACAAAGUGUACAUCUAGCGUAUUGGUGGGGUUUAGUACGUCAAAGGCUAGCUUUACCACGUGCGUUUAUGUUUGCGGAGUUCUCAUUAGUGAGGCAAAAUGGUGCUUCGUCUCCACAUAAGCUGCUCAAACCUAGCUUCACGGCAGUUUGGGUGUGUUAGUGGGUGCGGUGCACGAGGAAGCUUUGUGCGAUUUUGCCAAAAUGGUUUUUACCGACCCGUCUUGAAACACGGACCAAGGAGUCUAAC
This 643-nucleotide ribosomal RNA is filed under the name Anteholosticha monilata. RNAcentral's name for it is "LSU rRNA". It matches the Rfam family "Eukaryotic large subunit ribosomal RNA", at positions 47 to 679 of the family's 3401-position model. The record is from RNAcentral. Lineage: Eukaryota; Ciliophora; Spirotrichea; Urostylida; Holostichidae.